GAUGAACGCUGGCGGCGUGCCUAACACAUGCAAGUCGAGCGAACAGACGAGGAGUUUGCUCCUCUGACGUUAGCGGCGGGCGGGUGAGUAACACGUGGAUAACCUACCUAUAAGAGUGGGAUAACUUCGGGAAACGGGAGCUAAUACCGGAUAAUCUAUUGAACCGGAUGGUUCAAUAGUGAAUGACGGGUUUGCUGUCACUUCUCGAUGGAUCCGCGCGGCAGUAGCUAGUUGGUAGGGUAACAGCUUACCACGGCAGCGAUGCGUAGCCGACGUGAGAGAGUGAUAGGCCACACUGGAGCUGAAACGCGGACCAGGGGCCUACGGGAGGGAGCAGUAGGGAAUGGGCGGCAGUGGGGGGGAACAUGGCGGAACGGCGGCGAGUGAGAGGUGACGGUCUUGGGAGCGUAAAACUCGGUUAUGAGGGAAGAACAAAUGUGGAAUUUGCCGAGCAGGUCUUGACGGUACCUGAUAAGGAAGCAACGGCUAACUACGUG
RNAcentral lists this ribosomal RNA (497 nucleotides) under uncultured bacterium. RNAcentral's name for it is "partial 16S ribosomal RNA". It matches the Rfam family "Bacterial small subunit ribosomal RNA", at positions 28 to 507 of the family's 1533-position model. The record is from RNAcentral.